UGGAGGAUUGAGACAAAAGAAAUUUCAUGAAGUUCAAGAAGGACAAGCGCAAAGUACUGCACUUACAACGGAACAAUCCCACACGCAGGUACAGACUAAGGACCAACAGGCUGAACAGCAGCUCUGCAGACAAGGACCUGGGGGUUACACUGCACAAUAAGGCGAACAUAAGCCAAAAGCAUGCCCUUGUUGCUACGAAGGCUAACGGCAUACUGGUCUACAUUAGUAGAAGUGUUGCCAGCAGUUCAAGGGAAGUGAUUAUUCCCC
This is a long non-coding RNA of Gavialis gangeticus (Gharial), 267 nucleotides long. RefSeq lists it as uncharacterized. The transcript is spliced from 3 exons. Lineage: Eukaryota; Metazoa; Chordata; Crocodylia; Gavialidae. The record is from RefSeq and is a predicted model, not a curated record.